This 1777-nucleotide long non-coding RNA is filed under the name Sus scrofa (pig). RNAcentral describes it as "lncRNA (ENSSSCG00005033855.1)". The record is from RNAcentral. Lineage: Eukaryota; Metazoa; Chordata; Mammalia; Artiodactyla; Suidae.
AUCCCCUCCCUUCCCUGAUUAGCGACUGCCCUUUGGAACUCAGGGAAGGUCUUGGAGGCUGAGGCUUAUUCCCUAAAAACAAGAAAUGGAGGAUGAGUGCCUAGGAGCCCCACAGGGCUCGCUUACAGUAUGGCUGAAGGAUGGGAGGCGUGGACACGUGAGGAAGGAGGUGGAAGACCUAAGCUGUGCCCAAAUUCACCUUCGGUGACGCAACCUUUAACUUCAGAGCUGCUUCUUGGAACACAGAGGUAUGUAUGUAUGUAUUUUUACAAACCCAAAAUGUUAAGGUUUUCUUUUUUUCUUUGUCUUUUGUUGUCUUUUUAGGGCUACACUUGCGGCAUAUGGAGAUUCCCAGUCUAAGGGUCAAAUCGGAGCUGUAGCGGCCGGCCUACACCUCAGCCCCAGCAACACCAGAUCCGAGCCGCAUCUGUGACCUACACCACAGCUCACGGCAAUGUCGGAUCCUGAACCCCCGGAGCGAGGCCAGGGAUUGAACCCGAGUCCUCAUGGAUCCUAGCUGGCUUUGUUCUGCUGAGCCACGACGGGAACGCCAAGACUUUUUAGAUUCUAGAAAAAGGUAUUGAAUGACUCGAAGGCUGCCCCUUGGGGGACAGUUUUCUCCCCUCCCCAUUCUCCUAUCAGCCCAUAAAACAUCCUCUCAGAAGAAACAUUUUGACUCUCUUGGUCCCCUGUUCCUGGUUCCUCACUGUGAGAAGAGGCGGGACCUCUGAGCUUGGCGGGGUUGAGAAAAGGUGUCAGGUGUGCUUUGCUCAGCCUGUUCUUGGCUCUCUCUUUGGGACUGAUCGAACUACAAGCAACAUGUGCCUCCUCCCCUGCUCGGAAGGCCUUCAAUAGUCCAGCUGCUCUGCGGUGAGUGGGUGGGUAAGGUCAAAUCAGGAGAGAAGGAAAGGAAGCCCAUUUGGGCCUUGGGUCGCAGCCACAUCCUCCAGCCCAUCUGGACCAGCAAAAAAGAUGACAUGUUAAUCCCUCCGUGUCUCCUGUGACUCUGUCUCAAUUAGAUCAGAUUUUGGAGAAGAGAGGGGUAUGAUUAACUAGCACCCACAAACCCCAACAUCUGUUGAAGUCUUAGCCCCAGUGGGAAAAGGCACAGUUAGAUGAAAACGAUGGCUUAAGUUUGUGAUUAUUAUUAGCCAGCACUUCUCUGUGCUUCACUGGUUACAUGUCUUUUCAUCGCGUUACGAAUUAUUGCUUUUUUUAAGGUACGAGUCUGGAUGGGAAUUGAUAAGGCUCUUCUGGGCUUGGCUGCCCCUAACUUGCUCUGUGGCUUGACUUUCCUGGGCUUCAGUUUUAUCAGUUAUGAAAUGAGUGGAUUAGACUAGAUGAUGGAAAGGAGCCAACCCAAGGUCUGAUGUUCUUGCAUUCACUCAACACACGUUUAUUAUUGCGUAUCUAGAAUGUGUUGGCUACCGUGCUGGAGGCUGGUUAUAUAAUGCUGUGCAAAACAAACACGGCCCCAUCAUCUUGGAGUUCAGAGUCUAGGAGGAGAGAGAGAGAGAUAUCAAAUAAACAUCUUUAUAAAUGCACAAUGACAAGUUCAAUACAAUGUUAAUCUAUGAGCAAUUGGAUUGUAUAGAACAUUCCUACUAGUUCUUUUUUUUUUUUUUUUUUUUUUUUUUUUUUUUUUUUUUUUUUUUUUUGUUGCUUUUUNNNNNNNNNNNNNNNUCCAUUGGCUGGAGGGCAGCAAAAAAAAAAAAAAAAAAAAGAUGCUAUAAAUGGUUACGUGUGUGGUGGGCAUCCCCCAUGUCCUGAAUGAUCC